UUGACCUUGAUGUGGCAUGGCUAUUUAGGCAGAGAAUUGGUGUUUGAGCGGCAAAAUGGAUUUCCUCCUUUCUCCUCAUUUUGUGAAACCGCCUAAUGAAGAUAUGGAAACCCAAUCAAUUCUCAAUCAGUUGAAAUUCUUAUACAAAAUUAUCAAUGCGUUUCCAUUAUUAACGCUUAUAAACUGUCUAUGUUUAAUCAGAGAAUUCAAACGCUUUUGAUCUUUCAAUCACUGCUUAAUCUUCAAUCGAUCGAUUAUCAUUGUGUUGUUCUUCCAUUCCAGAAUUAGGAUUUAGGGUUCUAAUAAUGUGGGGCUGAAUCAAGAAGAAGAUGUGUAAUAGCCCUAAUACUAUCUACGGCUUCAUCUAUGGCGAUUGUAUCUAUACCCACUACAAAAAUCUCUACAUCUCGAGCAUUCGAACUCUCAUCUAGAUUGGUUAAGAAUAUUCUCCACUGCCUUCUUUUGCAAAGACUUGUAGAGAUGAAGUUUUAAUAGGUAGCUGUAAAGUACUACUGGAAGAUAUAACAAAUGAAACAAUAGUGUGAUAGCAAAAUUACAUUACGGAUUUCAUUUCGAUUUGAGUUUAUACAUUUUAAGGAUGCUUUCGAUAUUUGGAGAAAGAAUGGUUGUGCAUAGAAACAUGAGUUCAACAUUGAUGGGCAGGUUGAUGUUAUUUUAUAUUAAGAAAGCAUAACGACAUCACACAGAAAGCCAAAGAAUUCAUCUAGGGUUCCGGCGAACUUUCGAACAAGCUCCGGUUUAUAUGUUGGUGUUUACCUUGCUAGCCCUUUGAUAUGAAUUUUGAUGGCACCAGGUUUGACACUCAAUAAAAAUUAAUGGUGUAGUAAAGACUAUACUAAGACAUUUUAAGAAAUCGUAAGCAUGACUCGAGACGAUUGAGUAUAGGUAAUUUAAUAGCAGGUGACGCGUAUAAAGUAUGAACCAUUUAAAAUUCUUAAAUAAAUACAGGGGCCAUGGAUUAACUAUACUGUUCGGAUCAUGGAUUGUAACUAUAUACACAUUAUAGCAAAUGGUUGAGAUGCAUGAGACCAUACUCGGGAAUAGGGACAAGCAUUUGGUACCGGGUACCGGUGCCGAAUUUCCUGUACCGAUUUAUUUUCGGCACCGAUUCGGUACCCACUUUUUGGCGUUUUUGGUACCGGUACUUUUGGUUCGGUACCGGUUCACUACCGUACCAAUAUUUUACUGAAUUUUACCCUCAAAUACCGGUACGAUACCUUACCGUAACGAUAUCAAAUUUGGUACUGGUAUAUUAUGUCAUGAACCAUUUAAAAAUUAAAAAUUUGAUAGUGUUCUCAUUUUUUAUUAUUAAUGUGUUUAAUAGCUUUGCUUCGUGACUUCUUCAAAUCAAACAUCAAUCUUGAUUCACCCACCACAAAGGGUUUAUAUGUUGGUGUUUACCUUGCUAGCCCUCUGAUAUGAAUUUUGAUGGCACCAGGUUUGACACUCAAUAAAAAUUAAUGGUGUAGUAAAGACUAUACUAAGACAUUUUAAGAAAUCGUAAGCAUGACUCGAGACGAUUGAGUAUAGAUAUGCUUCGCGACUUCUUCAAAUCAAACAUCAAUCUUGAUUAACCCACAACAAAUGAUUUGCAGCAAGCUUAGUUUAGGAAUACUGCAGUAGCGGUUAUUUCUAGAAUCGAAACCCACCGUGAAGCGGUUGGUGUUCCACUAGGGUGGAUGCAAAUAUAUACUACAUACGUAACCUGAGUCAAUCCAUCCACAUGUAAAUAUGUUGUUCUGCAGAUGUCGUACAAUCAUUUGGUGUAUGAGCUCGCCGGAACCCUAAUACCACCGAAAAAAUGAUUACGCUGGUGUGGCAACCUGUGUUGCAGCCAUGGUGGAGAUAUGAUUGUUGCUAUUCAAGGCUGUCACGAUGAGUGUAAAGGCAACCUCUGUUAUCCAAGAUCUAAACCUUGAUCGGAGACCUCAACCACCUCAUGUUUUCGUUGCCUCACAAACCAGGUACUAGGCAGUUAUUUCUAUAGGAAAGGUAGGUGGUGUAAAAGGCUACUACAACAUCAUUUUGGAAAAAGAUAAGAGAUUGGAUUUUUGGUGGAAUUUAUGUGAGGCUUUCACAUUUUGGUCCAAUAAAUAUAUAGUGGAAACAAGAUGUUUCGUUGUGAAUGCUCUAAUCGUUUUAUAUCUUUUGAUUGAUUGUUAGACCGAGUACAUGUACACCGACCGAAUCGAUAAUGGAAAAUACUAAAGAAUACGUAAAAAUGGCAGCGCACACCGGGAUAUAAAUUCGUGUAUACAAACUUGCAUUUUUUA
Long non-coding RNA from Helianthus annuus (common sunflower), 2294 nucleotides. RefSeq lists it as uncharacterized. The transcript has 13 exons. NCBI's taxonomy places the organism in Eukaryota, Viridiplantae, Streptophyta, Magnoliopsida, Asterales, Asteraceae. The record is from RefSeq and is a predicted model, not a curated record.